This 505-nucleotide ribosomal RNA is filed under the name uncultured bacterium. RNAcentral describes it as "bacterial SSU rRNA". It matches the Rfam family "Bacterial small subunit ribosomal RNA", at positions 45 to 539 of the family's 1533-position model. The record is from RNAcentral.
CGUCCUAACCGUGCAGUCGACGGUCACAGAGAAGAAGCUUGCUUCUUCGCUGACGAGUGGCGGACGGGUGAGUAAUGUCUGGGAAACUGCCUGAUGGAGGGGGAUAACUACUGGAAACGGUAGCUAAUACCGCAUAACGUCGCAAGACCAAAGAGGGGGACCUUCGGGCCUCUUGCCAUCGGAUGUGCCCAGAUGGGAUUAGCUAGUAGGUGGGGUAACGGCUCACCUAGGCGACGAUCCCUAGCUGGUCUGAGAGGAUGACCAGCCACACUGGAACUGAGACACGGUCCACACUCCUACGGGAGGCAGCAGUGGGGAAUAUUGCACAAUGGGCGCAAGCCUGAUGCACCCAUGCCGCGUGUAUGAAGAAGGCCUUCGGGUUGUAAAGUACUUUCAGCGGGGAGGAAGGGAGUAAAGUUAAUACCUUUGCUCAUUGACGUUACCCGCAGAAAAAGCACCGGGCUAACUCCGUGCCGACCCCCGGGGGAAUAUAAAAAGGCGAACA